RNAcentral lists this ribosomal RNA (539 nucleotides) under Minichalara microspora. Its description in RNAcentral is "LSU rRNA". It matches the Rfam family "Eukaryotic large subunit ribosomal RNA", at positions 44 to 592 of the family's 3401-position model. Lineage: Eukaryota; Fungi; Ascomycota; Leotiomycetes; Helotiales; Neolauriomycetaceae. The record is from RNAcentral.
CAAUAAGCGGAGGAAAAGAAACCAACAGGGAUUACCUCAGUAACGGCGAGUGAAGCGGUAACAGCUCAAAUUUGAAAUCUGGCCUCGGUCCGAAUUGUAAUUUGUAGAAGAUGCUUCGGGCGUGGCACCGGUCUAAGUUCCUUGGAACAGGACGUCAUAGAGGGUGAGGAUCCCGUAUGUGACUGGCCGCCUAACCCAUGUGAAGCUCUUUCGACGAGUCGAGUUGUUUGGGAAUGCAGCUCAAAAUGGGUGGUAUAUUUCAUCUAAAGCUAAAUAUUGGCCAGAGACCGAUAGCGCACAAGUAGAGUGAUCGAAAGAUGAAAAGCACUUUGGAAAGAGAGUUAAACAGUACGUGAAAUUGUUGAAAGGGAAGCGCUUGCAACCAGACUUGCGCGUAGUCGAUCAUCCGAUGUUCUCACCGGUGCACUCGACUGCGCUCAGGCCAGCAUCGGUUUGGGUGGUUGGAUAAAGGCCUUGGGAAUGUAGCUCCUUCGGGAGUGUUAUAGCCCUCGGUGCAAUGCAGCCUACCCAGACCGAGG